UAUUAUAUCCCCUUUAAUUCAGUAAUAACAUGCAGUGAUAAAAAAUAACAACAACAGAAACUAUUAAAAACUGAACAAAUAACAAUAAAUAAAAACUUACUUGUUGAAGUUUUUUGCUCUUCUCUUCCGAAAUACUCCCUCUCUACUCUCUGUUAUUUUUAUUUUAUCUAGCUUGGCAAGUGAACUUUAGUUUGAACAACAUAUGUUCUCAAUAGACGUUUAAAUAAGGUGAGUAAGUCCGGUACAUGAAUUAUUUUAGGACCAAAUUCAAACAUUAAUACUGUUAUGGGUCACAACUUUUUAUAUUAUCGAGCUUGCAGGUGUUCUUUCCCGAGGCGAUGUGGCAGAAAAAGUAGUCAA
Molecule: long non-coding RNA, 360 nt
Filed under: Panax ginseng (ginseng)
Lineage: Eukaryota; Viridiplantae; Streptophyta; Magnoliopsida; Apiales; Araliaceae
Description: long non-coding RNA (PGIN_LNC010578)
Source: RNAcentral